RNAcentral lists this long non-coding RNA (2092 nucleotides) under Homo sapiens (human). Its description in RNAcentral is "HSALNT0348766". The record is from RNAcentral. Lineage: Eukaryota; Metazoa; Chordata; Mammalia; Primates; Hominidae.
GCUUCCCGUUGUGUUAUCCACAGGCACAAUGGGUAUAUUGACUAUCGUUCAUUGAAGUUGUUGAUACAAAUGUUGAACAGGAGAAAAACCAGUAGCUUGCCAACUUGGCACCUCAUUCUCUAGCUUGACAGUAAUCUCUUAUCUAGUAGUUUUUAGAUAUGGUUAUUUAAUCAAAUAUCACUAGCUUCUAAUUUUGUUAUAAUUCAUUCAUGUAUACAGACAAUGAAGAAUCAUCUUUCUUCAUUCAACACAUUUAUUGGGAACCAAUCAUUGUCCAAGGCAAUAUGCUAGGCAUUGUGUAAUAGAAAGCGAUUAAGCUUUUACCCCUGUCCUCUUUGGCCUGCAAAGAGCAGGUAAGAUUCAUGCACAGACAAAUGUAGUACCAGGUAAAUAGUGAGGCCAAACACAAGAGGCAGGUCAAAGGGCUUUGGAUUCAGAGGAUGGAGAAGCUCUUUCUAGGCUGGUGAAAUAUUUGCAGAAUGAGUAGGCUCAUAAGUGGAGGUGAGGUACAGGCUAAGCUGCUGUAAGAAAGAGUCCAAAAUGCAAAGGAUUUACCACAAUGCAGUUAAUUUUUCUCACAACGGUCGAGGUAGGCAGGUGGUCCAAGUCCAGUUAAUCAGCCCUCCUCAACACAAGGCUUCCCCUUGUAAGCUCAGGAUGACCGCUCCAGUUCUCAUCAUCUCCCAGGCAGAAAAACGGGAGAAAGAGAACUAGACGUACCACCCAGUCAUUUUAAGGACAUAGCCAGGCCAGGUGCAGUGACUCACAUCUGUAAUCCAAGCACUUUGGGAGGUCGAGGCUGGAGGAUAGCUUGAAGCCAGGAGUUUGAGACCAGCUUGGAUAAGAAAGCAAGACCUUGUCUCUACAAAAAAUUUAAAAAUUAACCAUGUGUGGUGGUGUGCACCUAUAGUCCCAGCUACUCAGGAGGCUGAGGUGGAAGGAUCACUUGAGCACAGGAGUUGGAGGAUACAGUGAGCCAUGAUCACACCACCUCACUCCAGCCUGGGCAACAUAGUGAGACCCCAUCUCUUUAAAAAACAAAACAAAAAAACAUCACCAGGAAGUUGCUUACAUGUCUUCUAUUCCUAUAACAUCGGCCUGAGCUUAGUCACAUGGCCACACCCAGCAGAAAGAACUCUAGGAAAUAUGGUCUUAUGCUAGGUAACCCCAAACCCAGCUAAAACUGUUGCUUUUGAAGAAGGGUGAAACAGACAAUGUGGAGGAGAAUUACCAGUCUGCCACAAAGAGAAAGAAUUCUAUGUGAGGAAAACGCUCUAGAAGAGGGAGCUGAUUAAUUAGUUAUAUCUCAGCCGAGAGGAUGUUAUGAGAAACACAGAUUUGGGUUUAAUAGAAAAACUUAGAACCCUUCAAGAAGGAAUGGGCGGACUUGAGAGUGUCCUCCGCUUCUGAAAAUGAUCAAGAAAAAUGGUAAGAAUGUACACCUCAAGGGUGGAUGGUAAAGGUCAGCCUUUAAGCCUCAAUGGCGGUGUGGUUGUAGGUGGGGUGGGGGUGGAGGCCCCGAAGACAGGCAGACUACCACAGUAGCCCCGAUGGAAGCAGUGAGAAUGAACUGGAAGGAGCGGCUGUGGGAGCGACAACGUGAUGAGAAUAAACCCGGCUUGGCUCUGCCCUGUGCACACACAGGUGAGCUGUGUGCUCCCGGAUGUGUCAGCUGGUAUAUGCGUCUGUCAGAAGGCAGCUGGGGAGCACUGUUAGCUCAGAGACUAAGAGGCAGACCCAGGAAGCCCUUCUUUGCAUUGGUCAGGGUUUGCUGCAUUUUCCCAAGCCCAGGAAAUGGAACCCAGUUCUUCUUCUUUCUGUGUAAAAUAAUAAGCAUCACAAUAGGCUGUGCUCAUGAGAACGCAUUUUGUUUCCACAGAAAUGUUUUUUCUCACUCUGUCCUGAUUUUGAUUUCUGUUAAACUCAGUAAACACAUUACCAAAUUUUAAAAUAAGGUGACUUGUUUUCCCCAACUCACAGUUCACCAAAGGUAUUUCAUCUGUUUGUUCUGAAAAUGCAGCUGCUGUCUAGAUUUAUGUGUGCUCUGACAAGAAAUGUUUUGUGUAACAAUAAAAAUCAUUUCCUUUGAUGA